This is a long non-coding RNA of Hevea brasiliensis (rubber tree), 579 nucleotides long. RefSeq lists it as uncharacterized. The record is from RefSeq and is a predicted model, not a curated record. Lineage: Eukaryota; Viridiplantae; Streptophyta; Magnoliopsida; Malpighiales; Euphorbiaceae. The transcript has 2 exons.
CUUCCAAUUGCCCAAAUAUUGAUUUGGAUCAGCGUUUUGGGAUAAAUUUCAUAACCAUUGAUUUUAAAAUUCGACAUGGCUUCUCUUGGAAGUAGCAAUGGGGCAGGAGGGUGCAAUCUCAGAGUUUCUUUUAUUACCAUGUGAAGCGAUCUCUGACAUAGCCCAGAUCAGGGUAACUGCACUGGUGUUUACUCCAGCCAAAAAUAGGUCCUGAAGCAAGAACAUCACAUGAUAAAAGAAGCAGACAUUAGUUCCAAGUUACCAGAAAAUACACACAUAACUUUUUUUUUUUUUACAUUUAGCUCAAGUUCUGGAGAAAAAAAAAGCAAGAUUUUUGUUGUCAUUUGACAUCCCAGAGAGCAUUCUGCUUCACCAGCAGUGGUGCUUUCAUAAAAACACAGAACAUGGAAGACAUCUCAAAAUUCAACAAGAGUUACUUUGAGAGAGGCUUUUGGUAAAAAAAAUCGUAUGUAAUGGCAACAAAACAAAUCUAAAAGUAAAGGAUUUGUAACCUGAGCAAAAGAUAAGGUGCAUACCAUGAGAACUGCCUUAAUGUGAUCUUUUGUCAGCUGAAUUGAA